Molecule: long non-coding RNA, 599 nt
Organism: Papaver somniferum (opium poppy)
Lineage: Eukaryota; Viridiplantae; Streptophyta; Magnoliopsida; Ranunculales; Papaveraceae
Exons: 3
Source: RefSeq, a predicted model, not a curated record
UCUUCUUCUUUAUUCUUAUUCUCUUCUUUUAUUUCCUUGUUCUUUUCUCUGGCGAAUUUGAGAGAUCGAAUGGAAGUUUUAUGAUUAGUAGAAGGUGGAAAAGAUCAUGGGGUAGUUGCUAGUGAUGGUGUGGUUGUCUGUUGUUGAUUCAGACACGAAGGAGGAAGUUAAUUAGAGGUUAGGGUUCUGAGUUUUGAGGUUGUGUGGAACUAAUGAUGAUUUAGUGUUGCUGAUUGAUGAAGAACAAAUGGGUUGAGAUUGAAUUGAAGAUUUGAAGUUGUUCUAUUGAUGAAUUAAAGCUAGGGUUUCAUGUUCUUCCCCAAAUCAGUUAGUCUUUAUUAACAACGAUCGAUUCAAGGGACAGAUCAGUGGAUUGUAGAUCUCGAGGUAGGCGAGGCUUUUCAUCAGAUCAGUAAUCUGAAGGAAUGGAGCGCUCGAAGAUAUCUGUUUCGUAGCUAUGAACUUUAUUUAAUCUAGUGUUGUUGUGCAUCUAUUACUAUAUGUAUGCUUUCUUAUUCUGUAAACAACACAUUUAUUUAUUCUUAGAACUCGAAAAACUUUCAUUUAUAUAAUAUCAUAGAGUUUGGGUUUUGUUAUUU